CCUACGGGGGGCAGCAGUGGGGAAUAUUGGGCAAUGGGCGCAAGCCUGACCCAGCAACGCCGCGUGAAGGAAGAAGGCUUUCGGGUUGUAAACUUCUUUUCUCAGGGACGAAGAAAGUGACGGUACCUGAGGAAUAAGCCACGGCUAACUACGUGCCAGCAGCCGCGGUAAUACGUAGGGAGCGAGCGUUGUCCGGAAUUACUGGGUGUAAAGGGAGCGUAGGCGGGGAUGCAAGUUGGGUGUUAAAUCUACCGGCUCAACUGGUAGUCGCACUCAAAACUGCAGCUCUUGAGUGAAGUAGAGGCAGGCGGAAUUCCUAGUGUAGCGGUGAAAUGCGUAGUUAUUAGGAGGAACACCAGUGGCGAAGGCGGCCUGCUGGGCUUUUACUGACGCUGAGGCUCGAAAGUGUGGGGAGCAAACAGGAUUAGAUACCCCUGUAGUC
Molecule: ribosomal RNA, 442 nt
Filed under: uncultured bacterium
Lineage: Bacteria
Description: partial 16S ribosomal RNA
Rfam family: Bacterial small subunit ribosomal RNA
Source: RNAcentral